Non-coding RNA from Theobroma cacao (cacao), 203 nucleotides. NCBI's taxonomy places the organism in Eukaryota, Viridiplantae, Streptophyta, Magnoliopsida, Malvales, Malvaceae. The record is from RefSeq and is a predicted model, not a curated record.
AGAAAAAGUGUGGGAUUUCAAGGGAUUAAGCUAAUAAAGGUAGUGAGCCCUCUAAUAAGGGUAAAAAGAUUGUACCUGAAGAUCGAGAAUAGAAGUAUAGCGAACUCCUAGUAUUUGAUUAAUAAAGUUGGUCGGAUGCAAAUUGAGGUCAAUUAUAAUGUUUAAAAGUGAUGAAAGGUGAAAGGAAUAGUUUGAGAUAAAAU